AAAUUUAAAGAUAAUCAACUAGGAUAAUAUGAAAUUAACAAAAUAUACAAUAUAAUUCAAUUUAUAAACUAAAACAAUUUUUUAAAAAAAAUGAAUAAUGAAUAAGUCAUAAAAAAAUAAAAAACAAACACACAAACAGACUCAAUUGAAACAAAAACAAAAGCAACAGAAUAAUCUACAAACAAAUAAAUUAUUAGAAUAGAAAUCCAGUGCCAAAAUAGAAUGCGCAUAAACGGGAGAGGAUUAAAAACGAAAUUAUUCCAAGCUUCUAAACGCAAAGUUUCAACGCGGACUAAAGUGAAAUGUUGCACCAAUUUUAGGGAAAAAUUAAAAAAACAAAAGAAAAAGAGAAAGGCCCCAAUCAAAUGAUGGCGCAAAAAGGAAGGACUAAAUGCACAAAUUCCCCUCUUUGGAACAAAAACACGCGGAUCCGACUAUGGGUUGGGUUGAUGCGUGGGUUCUUCCAUCUCUUAAACGGUGCCGUUUUAUUCAUAUAUAAAAACUAAAAUUAGCCCUAAAAAACUCAUUUAACUGAUUAUCUUCUCAAAAAAAAAACCUUAAAGCCUUUUUUGUUUAACCCUCUUAACUUUCCCCUCUUGGUCGGCUUGUGGCUUCAUCGGCACUUAAUGAACCUCCAUCUCCGCCGUGGCUCGAAUCCUUAGAGAUCUGUUUACCUUUGGACCGGAGGACCAAACGUCGAUUAGGUUGACAUCGAAUGAACGGUAAGAAAACCUUCCUUUUUUUUUGUAUAUUAGUAUGAUAGAUUCAAAACAAAGCAAGAAAUAAAAGAGAAAAAUCUGAACAAAGAAUCAAUGAAUGAACCACCUUGAAGUGUAUUUGAUUUCUGUAUUUUAUUGCUAUCUCUCUUUUUUCGUUUUUCUUCCUUUCUUUACAGAAACGUAUUCGGCUUUUUAUAGCCGAACCAAAAAUAAAAUACAAAAUACCAGCCUUUUUUCUUUUUUUUUUUUUCUUUUUCAUUUUCUUAUUGUACAUUGCUGUAUAUUACUGUUAUUGUUGUUGUUUUUAUCGUUUUUUGCAGGUACAAAGGCCGUGUAGAUGUACAGAGGGGAGCGGCGUAUGUGGAGGUCUCGGCGGCGGCAAUUAGCCCUAGGGUUUUCUAUUUUGCCAAAAAUUGGCCCAAUUUCAGGCCAUGGGAUAGGGCUUAAGCUUUUUAGGUUGGUUGUAAUGGGCUGUGAAUGGGUAUAGUUGGAUAUGGUUAUUGGGUUUUUCAUGUAGGCCUAUUGCUUUGUAAAAGGAAGUUUGGACAUUUAAUUUAUUUUUAAUUUCUGAUUUUUGGUUUUUGGUAUGGGCCCGGGCUAAAUUGGCCCAUUACACUACUAAUCCGACAUUUUCCUUUUUUUCUCGUUCUAGCUCCGAAUUUGGUCUAUCCGGAUCUAUACGAGUAAAUUUAACAUUAAUUUAUCACAUUUCAUAUUUAAGUGGACUCAAUUUACAUCCUAAGAAAAAUUAUCAUUUUGCCCUUAACUUUUCCAUAAAUUCCAAUUUCGUCCUUAGGCUCGGAAAAUGAAAUUUAUGCUAUUUACUCCCUAU
This 1551-nucleotide long non-coding RNA is filed under the name Gossypium barbadense (sea-island cotton). Its description in RNAcentral is "long non-coding RNA (GBAR_LNC004667)". The record is from RNAcentral. Lineage: Eukaryota; Viridiplantae; Streptophyta; Magnoliopsida; Malvales; Malvaceae.